GUUUCUAUGUGCUUUGGAGAUCCUACAGCUUUGGAAUAGCAGGACUGAUGCUUUCAUGUUUAUAACAGAGAUGAGAGAUUUUUGGAUGUGGAUCAACUGAGAGCCCUAAAUCUGGUCUUACUCAGGACUUACCUUGAUUCUCAAAGCUAGCUGUUGAAUGUACAAGCAGAGAUACAUGAAGAUUCACACAAUGACCCAGACUUGCUCCAUCUCUACCUUGACCUGGUACUUGACCAGUGAGUCAGUGAGCCUUAUGGAAUCUCAGCUUCUUCCAGCAGUAAUGUGCAGACACUUUGGUUUCUUUCUUUCUUUCUUUCUUUCUUUCUUUCUUUCUUUCUUUCUUUCUUUCUUUCUUUCUUUCUUGUUUCAGACUCUUCGAUAAUAGCUGUUUCCUAGGACUGCUCAUAAACAGAAGAAGAAAUGUAGCUGAGGUCUCAGGAACAGCAAACAAUUGUGGAAAAUCAUGAGCAUCAAUUACUACAUCUUCAAAAACUGAGCAAAUCUGAAGAACUACAAUAUAUGUUUCUAUGUAUCAGGACAAGGACAGCCUGGUUCUGACUGUGCAAAGCUGCGGCUUUGCCUCCAGUGGAUGCCUUCAGAGCAGCAGAUCUGACUUCCUCCUCCAACCAAGGAGUCCUAAAAACAUCCAAGCAAAGGAAGCAUAUUUUCCCCAUGACAUGAGAAAGGGCCACAGAGAUCCAAAUGAAAACGGACAUUUCGCCCGAGUGACUGUUUGUAUCUCACCUUGGCUCUGUGCCUAAUUCAACAGGCACUUAGGUGGCUGAAGAGGGAAUUUUUCGUUACCGUGAAUCCAGCCCCGGGUUGGACAGAGAGCCUUUUGACGGCAGACCGAGUUCCUUGUGCUCGCUGGCAAAAUGACCACAUUUCUCUUCCAGUUGUUGUAGGGGUUUGAAAAAUCCCUCACUUCCUGGCAAAAGUUUUCUUUCUCCAGGAGAUAAAGGCAAGGCAUCUUCUGUCUACCCAUAGAAUACUUCUAUCACCUCAGAAACAGUUUUCAGCAAGGCAGGGUUGCUUGAACACUCACGUUAGCUCUCCACGGACUCUCGACAGCUGGCUGAUGACCAAAGAGUCUCAGGGAAGUACUCCCUUCUCUGAUUGUCCAUGUCAGUGGGAGUCUGCGGGCUGUCAUCAGAAAGUUCAUCUUACAUGUAUGACUAUGGGGCCUGUGUGUGUUCAAAUAUAUGUCUGAGGUAUGGGCAGAGUGCCUAGUUUGAAGCUUUUGUGCAUACUCAAGAACCAUGACUGAGAAGGCCAGAGCAGAAUGAAGGUAACACUCACUCUUUUGUUGCUCCCUAGGAAGUACCAUGACUUCUUUGGUGAUAGGAGUCUAGUGUAGUAAUAUAGACAUACCACUGCGUUAUUCAGAAAUAGACAACACAACCUACCCUGGUGGCAAAAUGAAUCAACACAAUCCUUCUCAGUGACAUUUUAGCAAAGUAAGUUGAGAACUUUAAAAUGCCAUAUCUCUACUUUGGAAUUGUUUUUAAGUUUAAACAACACAAAAUACAGUGUAGACAAUGUAGUUUAAAAUAGGAUGUCCUGGUGAGUUUUGGUCAACUGGACACGAACCAGAGUCAUUUGGGAAGAGCAAAACUCAGUUGAGAAAAUGCCCACAGCAGAUUGGUCUGUAGGACAUUUGUUUGGAUGGUGAUUAUUGUAGGAGGGCCCAUCCGCUUAUGGGCAGUGCCACCUCACCUGGACAGGUGGUCCUGGGAAUAUAAGAAAGCAGGCUGAGCAAGC
This 1761-nucleotide long non-coding RNA is filed under the name Mus spicilegus (steppe mouse). RNAcentral describes it as "lncRNA (ENSMSIG00000020192.1)". The record is from RNAcentral. Lineage: Eukaryota; Metazoa; Chordata; Mammalia; Rodentia; Muridae.